RNAcentral lists this ribosomal RNA (326 nucleotides) under uncultured eukaryote. Its description in RNAcentral is "partial 18S ribosomal RNA". It matches the Rfam family "Eukaryotic small subunit ribosomal RNA", at positions 1470 to 1796 of the family's 1831-position model. The record is from RNAcentral.
CCCUUAGAUGUUCUGGGCCGCACGCGCGCUACACUGAUGCAUUCAACGAGCCUAGCCUUGACCGAGAGGUCCGGGUAAUCUUUGAAACUGCAUCGUGAUGGGGCUAGAUUAUUGCAAUUAUUAAUCUUCAACGAGGAAUGCCUAGUAAGCGUGAUUCAUCAAAUCGCGUUGAUUACGUCCCUGCCCUUUGUACACACCGCCCGUCGCUCCUACCGAUUGAGUGUGUUGGUGAGGAGUUCGGAUUGGCUCUUAGUGGUGGUUCGCCACCACCUAGAGCUGAGAAGUUCUCCAAACCGCCCCACUGAGAGGAAGGAGAAGGCGUAACA